GAUGAACGCUGGCGGCGUGCCUAAUACAUGCAAGUCGAGCGAACGGACGAGAAGCUUGCUUCUCUGAUGUUAGCGGCGGACGGGUGAGUAACACGUGGAUAACCUACCUAUAAGACUGGGAUAACUUCGGGAAACCGGAGCUAAUACCGGAUAAUAUUUUGAACCGCAUGGUUCAAAAGUGAAAGACGGUCUUGCUGUCACUUAUAGAUGGAUCCGCGCUGCAUUAGCUAGUUGGUAAGGUAACGGCUUACCAAGGCAACGAUGCAUAGCCGACCUGAGAGGGUGAUCGGCCACACUGGAACUGAGACACGGUCCAGACUCCUACGGGAGGCAGCAGUAGGGAAUCUUCCGCAAUGGGCGAAAGCCUGACGGAGCAACGCCGCGUGAGUGAUGAAGGUCUUCGGAUCGUAAAACUCUGUUAUUAGGGAAGAACAUAUGUGUAAGUAACUGUGCACAUCUUGACGGUACCUAAUCAGAAAGCCACGGCUAACUAUGUGCCAGCAGCCGCGGUAAUACGUAGGUGGCAAGCGUUAUCCGGAAUUAUUGGGCGUAAAGCGCGCGUAGGCGGUUUUUUAAGUCUGAUGUGAAAGCCCACGGCUCAACCGUGGAGGGUCAUUGGAAACUGGAAAACUUGAGUGCAGAAGAGGAAAGUGGAAUUCCAUGUGUAGCGGUGAAAUGCGCAGAGAUAUGGAGGAACACCAGUGGCGAAGGCGACUUUCUGGUCUGUAACUGACGCUGAUGUGCGAAAGCGUGGGGAUCAAACAGGAUUAGAUACCCUGGUAGCCCACGCCGUAAACGAUGAGUGCUAAGUGUUAGGGGGUUUCCGCCCCUUAGUGCUGCAGCUAACGCAUUAAGCACUCCGCCUGGGGAGUACGACCGCAAGGUUGAAACUCAAAGGAAUUGACGGGGACCCGCACAAGCGGUGGAGCAUGUGGUUUAAUUCGAAGCAACGCGAAGAACCUUACCAAAUCUUGACAUCCUUUGACAACUCUAGAGAUAGAGCCUUCCCCUUCGGGGGACAAAGUGACAGGUGGUGCAUGGUUGUCGUCAGCUCGUGUCGUGAGAUGUUGGGUUAAGUCCCGCAACGAGCGCAACCCUUAAGCUUAGUUGCCAUCAUUAAGUUGGGCACUCUAAGUUGACUGCCGGUGACAAACCGGAGGAAGGUGGGGAUGACGUCAAAUCAUCAUGCCCCUUAUGAUUUGGGCUACACACGUGCUACAAUGGACAAUACAAAGGGCAGCGAAACCGCGAGGUCAAGCAAAUCCCAUAAAGUUGUUCUCAGUUCGGAUUGUAGUCUGCAACUCGACUACAUGAAGCUGGAAUCGCUAGUAAUCGUAGAUCAGCAUGCUACGGUGAAUACGUUCCCGGGUCU
RNAcentral lists this ribosomal RNA (1372 nucleotides) under uncultured bacterium. Its description in RNAcentral is "bacterial SSU rRNA". It matches the Rfam family "Bacterial small subunit ribosomal RNA", at positions 28 to 1381 of the family's 1533-position model. The record is from RNAcentral.